This 30-nucleotide non-coding RNA is filed under the name Homo sapiens (human). Lineage: Eukaryota; Metazoa; Chordata; Mammalia; Primates; Hominidae. The record is from RNAcentral.
UCAUCAACCCACAAGAUGAAAGAUGUGCAG